GAUGAAGAACGCAGCGAAAUGCGAUAAGUAAUGUGAAUUGCAGAAUUCAGUGAAUCAUCGAAUCUUUGAACGCACAUUGCGCCCUCUGGUAUUCCGGAGGGCAUGCCUGUCCGAGCGUCAUUGCUGCCCUCCAGCCCGGCUGGUGUGUUGGGCCCCGUCCCCCUUCCCGGGGGGACGGGCCCGAAAGGCAGCGGCGGCACCGCGUCCGGUCCUCGAGCGUAUGGGGCUUUGUCACCCGCUCUUGUAGGCCCGGCCGGCGCCAGCCGACCCCCUCAAUCUAUUUUUCAGGUUGACCUCGGAUCAGGUAGGGAUACCCGCUGAACUUAAGCAUAUCAAUAAGCGGAGGA
RNAcentral lists this unclassified non-coding RNA (347 nucleotides) under soil metagenome. RNAcentral describes it as "partial contains 5.8S ribosomal RNA, internal transcribed spacer 2, and large subunit ribosomal RNA". The stretch from base 1 to 120 matches the Rfam family "5.8S ribosomal RNA", at positions 35 to 154 of the family's 154-position model. The record is from RNAcentral.